This 253-nucleotide ribosomal RNA is filed under the name uncultured bacterium. RNAcentral describes it as "partial 16S ribosomal RNA". It matches the Rfam family "Bacterial small subunit ribosomal RNA", at positions 524 to 776 of the family's 1533-position model. The record is from RNAcentral.
UACGAAGGGGGCUAGCGUUGCUCGGAAUCACUGGGCGUAAAGCGCACGUAGGCGGGUUGUUAAGUCGGGGGUGAAAUCCUGGAGCUCAACUCCAGAACUGCCCUUGAUACUGGCAAUCUCGAGUCCGGAAGAGGUAAGUGGAACUCCGAGUGUAGAGGUGAAAUUCGUAGAUAUUCGGAAGAACACCAGUGGCGAAGGCGGCUUACUGGUCCGGUACUGACGCUGAGGUGCGAAAGCGUGGGGAGCAAACAGG